AACGAACGCUGGCGGCAGGCCUAACACAUGCAAGUCGAGCGAGAUCUUCGGGUCUAGCGGCGGACGGGUGAGUAACGCGUGGGAAUAUGCCUCUUGGUACGGAAUAGCCUCGGGAAACUGGGAGUAAUACCGUAUGUGCCCCCCGAUUCAUUUUGGGGUGGGAAAGAUUUAUCGCCUUUAGAGCGGCCCGCGUCUGAUUAGCUAGUUGGUGAGGUAAAGGCUCACCAAGGCGACGAUCAGUAGCUGGUCUGAGAGGAUGAUCAGCCACAUUGGGACUGAGACACGGCCCAAACUCCUACGGGAGGCAGCAGUGGGGAAUCUUGCGCAAUGGGCGAAAGCCUGACGCAGCCAUGCCGCGUGAAUGAUGAAGGUCUUAGGAUUGUAAAAUUCUUUCACCGGGGACGAUAAUGACGGUACCCGGAGAAGAAGCCCCGGCUAACUUCGUGCCAGCAGCCGCGGUAAUACGAAGGGGGCUAGCGUUGCUCGGAAUUACUGGGCGUAAAGGGAGCGUAGGCGGACAUUUAAGUCAGGGGUGAAAUCCCGGGGCUCAACCUCGGAAUUGCCUUUGAUACUGGGUGUCUUGAGUAUGAGAGAGGUGUGUGGAACUCCGAGUGUAGAGGUGAAAUUCGUAGAUAUUCGGAAGAACACCAGUGGCGAAGGCGACACACUGGCUCAUUACUGACGCUGAGGCUCGAAAGCGUGGGGAGCAAACAGG
RNAcentral lists this ribosomal RNA (715 nucleotides) under uncultured Caulobacteraceae bacterium. RNAcentral's name for it is "bacterial SSU rRNA". It matches the Rfam family "Bacterial small subunit ribosomal RNA", at positions 28 to 776 of the family's 1533-position model. The record is from RNAcentral. Lineage: Bacteria; Pseudomonadati; Pseudomonadota; Alphaproteobacteria; Caulobacterales; Caulobacteraceae.